This 274-nucleotide ribosomal RNA is filed under the name uncultured bacterium. RNAcentral describes it as "partial 16S ribosomal RNA". It matches the Rfam family "Bacterial small subunit ribosomal RNA", at positions 523 to 796 of the family's 1533-position model. The record is from RNAcentral.
AGACGGAGGGUGCAAGCGUUACUCGGAAUCACUGGGCGUAAAGCGCGCGCAGGCGGCUUGAUAAGUUGGAUGUGAAAACCUACGGCUCAACCGUAGAACUGCAUCCAAAACUGUCAGGCUAGAGUGUGGGAGAGGAAGAUGGAAUUAGUUGUGUAGGGGUAAAAUCCGUAGAGAUAACUAGGAAUACCAAAAGCGAAGGCAAUCUUCUGGAACACUACUGACGCUGAGGCGCGAAGGCGUGGGGAGCAAACAGGAUUAGAAACCCCAGUAGUCC